ACUGAGGUCAGUAUUAAAGAGGAUCUACUCCGAUAGCAAUUACUUUAGAGGAGAAAUUUUAUACCCUCACAGUGUCUUGGAGCACUCCAAGUCCUCUUUUCCUAACUUUGAGAUCUGCAAGAUAGAAUCUCUCGAUUGAUCCUAGUACAGAAGCCUCCAAUCCUCGAUGAAAGGGUCCGAAACAAACAAGAACCACCUCUUCCCGUGAACCA
Molecule: long non-coding RNA, 212 nt
Filed under: Elaeis guineensis (African oil palm)
Lineage: Eukaryota; Viridiplantae; Streptophyta; Magnoliopsida; Arecales; Arecaceae
Description: long non-coding RNA (EGUI_LNC023311)
Source: RNAcentral